Molecule: ribosomal RNA, 1934 nt
Filed under: seawater metagenome
Description: bacterial LSU rRNA
Rfam family: Bacterial large subunit ribosomal RNA
Source: RNAcentral
ACGUGUGCUCUUCCGAUCUCGACGGAUGCCUUGGCAGUAGAAGGCGAUGAAGGACGUGAUAAUCUGCGAUAAGCUUCGGUUAGCUGAUAAUAAGCUUUAACCCGGAGAUCUCCGAAUGGGAAAACCCAGUGAUCAUAAGAUCAUUAUCCUUAACUGAAUACAUAGGUUAAGGAGGCAAACCUAGGGAACUGAAACAUCUAAGUACCUAGAGGAAAAGAAAUCAACCGAGAUUCCCUUAGUAGCGGCGAGCGAACGGGGACCAGCCCUUAAGCAAUUUUGAGAUUAGUAGAAUGUUCUGGAAAGUUCAACGACACAGGGUGAUAGUCCCGUAUACGAAAAUCUUUUAAUUGUGAAAUCGAGUAAGGCGGCGCACGUGAAACGCUGUUUGAAUAUGGGGGGACCACCCUCCAAGGCUAAAUACUCUCUACUGACCGAUAGUGAACAAGUACCGUGAGGGAAAGGCGAAAAGAACCCCGGGAGGGGAGUGAAAUAGAACCUGAAAUCGUAUGCAUACAAGCAGUGGGAGCAGACUUGUUCUGUGACUGCGUACCUUUUGUAUAAUGGGUCAGCGACUUACUUCUCAGUAGCAAGGUUAACCAUUAGGGGAGCCGUAGGGAAACCGAGUCUUAAAUGGGCGUUUAGUUGCUGGGAGUAGACCCGAAACCGGGUGAUCUAUCCAUGGUCAGUGUGAAGGUUAGGUAAAACUAACUGGAGGCGCGAACCCACUUAUGUUGAAAAAUGAGGGGAUGAACUGUGGAUAGGGGUGAAAGGCCAAACAAACCCGGAGAUAGCUGGUUCUCUCCGAAAUCUAUUUAGGUAGAGCGUCGCGUAUUACUUCUGGGGGUAGAGCACUGUUAUGGCUAGCGGGUCGUCAAGGCUUAGUAAACCAUUGCAAACUCCGAAUACCAGAAAGUAUGAGCGCGGCAGACACACUGCGGGUGCUAACGUCCGUAGUGGAAAGGGAAACAACCCAGACCGUCAGCUAAGGUCCCAAAAUUAUAGUUAAGUGGGAAACGAUGUGAAAAGGCCCAGACAGCCAGGAGGUUGGCUUAGAAGCAGCCAUUCCUUUAAAGAGUGCGUAAUAGCUCACUGGUCGAGUCGGUUUGCGCGGAAGAUUUAACGGGGCUAAACUAUAUACCGAAGCUGCGGAUCGCAAUUUAUUGCGAUGGUAGGAGAGCGUUCUGUAAGCCGUUGAAGGUGAACUGUGAGGUUUGCUGGAGGUAUCAGAAGUGCGAAUGCUGACAUGAGUAACGAUAAAGGGGGUGAAAAACCCCCUCGCCAGAAGUCCAAGGUUUCCUACGCAACGUUAAUCGGCGUAGGGUUAGUCGGCCCCUAAGGCGAGGCAGAAAUGCGUAGUCGAUGGGAAACGGGUUAAUAUUCCCGUACUUCAUAUAACUGCGAUGGGAAGACGGAGUAGGUUAGCUCAGCAAGGCGAUGGUUGUCCUUGUUCAAGCGUGUAGAAAUGGUUCUUAGGAAAAUCCGGGAACCUCUAUUUCAAGGCGUGAUAACGAGCCCUCUUUUGGGCGAAGUGAGUGAGACCAUGCUUCCAGGAAAAUCCUCUAAGCUUCAGGUUAUAUGAAACCGUACCCCAAACCGACACAGGUGGACGAGAUGAGAAUUCUAAGGCGCUUGAGAGAACUCGGGUGAAGGAACUAGGCAAAAUGACACCGUAACUUCGGGAGAAGGUGUGCUCUUGUUAUGUGAUAUCACUUGCUGAUUGAGCAAAGAAGAGCUGAAAAAACUAGGUGGCUGCGACUGUUUAUUAAAAACACAGCACUCUGCAAACACGUAAGUGGACGUAUAGGGUGUGACUCCUGCCCGGUGCUUGAAGGUUAAUUGAUGAGGUUAGCGCUUGCGCGAAGCUUUUGAUCGAAGCCCAAGUAAACGGCGGCCGUAACUAUAACGGUCCUAAGGUAGCGAAAUUCCUUGUCGGG